UUAAAUUGAAGAGUUUGAUCAUGGCUCAGAUUGAACGCUGGCGGCAGGCCUAACACAUGCAAGUCGAACGGUAACAGGAAACAGCUUGCUGCUUUGCUGACGAGUGGCGGACGGGUGAGUAAUGUCUGGGAAACUGCCUGAUGGAGGGGGAUAACUACUGGAAACGGUAGCUAAUACCGCAUAACGUCGCAAGACCAAAGAGGGGGACCUUCGGGCCUCUUGCCAUCGGAUGUGCCCAGAUGGGAUUAGCUUGUUGGUGGGGUAACGGCUCACCAAGGCGACGAUCCCUAGCUGGUCUGAGAGGAUGACCAGCCACACUGGAACUGAGACACGGUCCAGACUCCUACGGGAGGCAGCAGUGGGGAAUAUUGCACAAUGGGCGCAAGCCUGAUGCAGCCAUGCCGCGUGUAUGAAGAAGGCCUUCGGGUUGUAAAGUACUUUCAGCGGGGAGGAAGGGAGUAAAGUUAAUACCUUUGCUCAUUGACGUUACCCGCAGAAGAAGCACCGGCUAACUCCGUGCCAGCAGCCGCGGUAAUACGGAGGGUGCAAGCGUUAAUCGGAAUUACUGGGCGUAAAGCGCACGCAGGCGGUUUGUUAAGUCAGAUGUGAAAUCCCCGGGCUCAACCUGGGAACUGCAUCUGAUACUGGCAAGCUUGAGUCUCGUAGAGGGGGGUAGAAUUCCAGGUGUAGCGGUGAAAUGCGUAGAGAUCUGGAGGAAUACCGGUGGCGAAGGCGGCCCCCUGGACGAAGACUGACGCUCAGGUGCGAAAGCGUGGGGAGCAAACAGGAUUAGAUACCCUGGUAGUCCACGCCGUAAACGAUGUCGACUUGGAGGUUGUGCCCUUGAGGCGUGGCUUCCGGAGCUAACGCGUUAAGUCGACCGCCUGGGGAGUACGGCCGCAAGGUUAAAACUCAAAUGAAUUGACGGGGGCCCGCACAAGCGGUGGAGCAUGUGGUUUAAUUCGAUGCAACGCGAAGAAYCUUACCUGGUCUUGACAUCCACAGAACUUUCCAGAGAUGGAUAGGUGCCUUCGGGAACUGUGAGACAGGUGCUGCAUGGCUGUCGUCAGCUCGUGUUGUGAAAUGUUGGGUUAAGUCCCGCAACGAGCGCAACCCUUAUCCUUUGUUGCCAGCGGUCCGGCCGGGAACUCAAAGGAGACUGCCAGUGAUAAACUGGAGGAAGGUGGGGAUGACGUCAAGUCAUCAUGGCCCUUACGACCAGGGCUACACACGUGCUACAAUGGCGCAUACAAAGAGAAGCGACCUCGCGAGAGCAAGCGGACCUCAUAAAGUGCGUCGUAGUCCGGAUUGGAGUCUGCAACUCGACUCCAUGAAGUCGGAAUCGCUAGUAAUCGUGGAUCAGAAUGCCACGGUGAAUACGUUCCCGGGCCUUGUACACACCGCCCGUCACACCAUGGGAGUGGGUUGCAAAAGAAGUAGGUAGCUUAACCUUCGGGAGGGCGCUUACCACUUUGUGAUUCAUGACUGGGGUGAAGUCGUAACAAGGUAACCGUAGGGGAACCUGCGGUUGGAUCACCUCCUUACCUUAAAGAAG
Molecule: ribosomal RNA, 1555 nt
Filed under: Escherichia coli
Lineage: Bacteria; Pseudomonadati; Pseudomonadota; Gammaproteobacteria; Enterobacterales; Enterobacteriaceae
Description: bacterial SSU rRNA
Rfam family: Bacterial small subunit ribosomal RNA
Source: RNAcentral